RNAcentral lists this ribosomal RNA (492 nucleotides) under uncultured bacterium. RNAcentral's name for it is "partial 16S ribosomal RNA". It matches the Rfam family "Bacterial small subunit ribosomal RNA", at positions 29 to 507 of the family's 1533-position model. The record is from RNAcentral.
AUUGAACGCUGGCGGCAUGCUUUACACAUGCAAGUCGAACGGUAACAGGCCUUCGGGUGCUGACGAGUGGCGAACGGGUGAGUAAUGCAUCGGAACGUACCCAGAGGUGGGGGAUAACGCAGCGAAAGCUGUGCUAAUACCGCAUGUGAUCUGAGGAUGAAAGCGGGGGACCGAGCAGCAAUGUUUGGCCUCGCGCCUUUGGAGCGGCCGAUGUCGGAUUAGCUAGUUGGUGGGGUAAAGGCCUACCAAGGCGACGAUCCGUAGCUGGUCUGAGAGGACGACCAGCCACACUGGGACUGAGACACGGCCCAGACUCCUACGGGAGGCAGCAGUGGGGAAUUUUGGACAAUGGGCGCAAGCCUGAUCCAGCAAUGCCGCGUGCGGGAAGAAGGGCUUCGGGUUGUAAACCGCUUUUGGCAGGAACGAAACGGUGUCCGCUAAUACCGGGCGCUAAUGACGGUACCUGCAGAAUAAGCACCGGCUAACUACGUG